This 267-nucleotide long non-coding RNA is filed under the name Setaria viridis. RNAcentral's name for it is "long non-coding RNA (SVIR_LNC004482)". Lineage: Eukaryota; Viridiplantae; Streptophyta; Magnoliopsida; Poales; Poaceae. The record is from RNAcentral.
GAACUAGUCGAGGAUUAGGAAAGUACUUGUUGUAAUAAGAGUAAAACAUCUCUAGUCGUAUCCGACUAGUAUUCUUGUAACCAACCGACCUAUAACCCUACUCCUGGCAAUAUAAGGCGAACCCCCUCCAAUUCAAUCCAACCAACACACAGAACGUAUGGUGUUACACAAUCUGUGGUCCGAACCUGUCUAAAUCGUGCGUCUACGUUUACCUUCGAGUUCCUGAUCUCGACAAGCCCCACUAACCAAACACUACCUCGAGCACCC